This is a long non-coding RNA of Lagopus muta (rock ptarmigan), 1588 nucleotides long. RefSeq lists it as uncharacterized. Lineage: Eukaryota; Metazoa; Chordata; Aves; Galliformes; Phasianidae. The record is from RefSeq and is a predicted model, not a curated record. The transcript has 11 exons.
GAGCUGCAGAAGGCCCCAGGUUGACAUGCUCUGCAGGCUGCCAUCUGUCUAUUGUAUUUAUUGCCCUUGCAGCCCAUGUUUUGCAACUGUUUGCUGGCUUUUGGGAAAAAACUGACAGAAUCUUUUCUAGUUGUCCCAUCACUAAAUAUUAAAUUUUUUAACUAAUUGUGAAGUAUGAUAGUUUCAGUGGUUUAGUUCAAUGAUAGCAAUUAGAAAGUGAUAGGAUAUGAUAAUAAGGAUAAAAUAAUUAUUACUAAUAAGGCACACCAUUCAAUAAUUAAUGGCAAUGAAAUAAUAGCUAGUUCAGUCAGAGUGUUACAAGGACCUCCACAAUCCCUUUUUGAACUUAAAAUUGAGUUUCCUUGUUAGCUGUAUGGUGUUACAACAUGAAUAGUCAGCAGAAGAAUGAGGUGGCAUCUGUUAACUUGUCUUUUUUCUUUUUUCUUUACCAUGCAGGAAAAGCAUCCUCACAAUCCCUAAUUGCUGAGAGAACACUCCUUCAAACUGAAUUCAUUAAGUCAAAUUAGAAGCUUCAGUUUUAUUCUGGGAUUUUCAGCGUUUCUGUCAUGCAGGCACUGAGGAACAAGACAGAGGCCUAUUACUGAAUGUUACAGAGAACUUGUGUUUUUUCCCUGAAUGUGGACUCACCUGCAGCUUCAUUCACAUCACUGCUGGAGCGCAUGGUCCUAGCACAGAAUUAAUGCUGCGGUCAUGGGGCACUACCUCAGGAAAGCCAUCUUGUUUUGAGGAAUUUCACCAAUUUCCUCCAUCAUUCUCUUUGUCAAGCUAUGACAAAACUAUCCAAGGUUCAGCACAGAUGGGAACAGCCUUUUCUCUCCUGGCUGAGGCAGGAGCUGCAAAAGAUCAUAAAUGUGUCUGGAGAGCUGUGUUCCUUAUUCUACUGAAGAUUUAUAAUAUUCCUAUUCCUACAACUUAAAUUUCAAGUGACGAGAAGAUUUACUAGCAUUCUCCAAAUAAAGGAAAUCAGGACAGAAGACAGCAGCAUAUAGUCUGGUGCUCAGCAAAACAUAAACCAUGUCGCAGCAUAGCAGGGGAAGGCUUCGGUGGACUCAAAUGCAAGACCUCUUGCUGCCUAAGGUUCUUCUGGCCUUGGUAUUUUUUAUCCAGUGGUUUUCCUAUCUGAACUUUUGCAUGCUUACUAAAUCAAAGGAUGGAGGAAAGACGUUGUCCAAGAAAAGCACAAGAAGUAGAUCUCUAUCUUCACUGAAUCCAGUGGCAAAAUAUUCAUUGGCCUCAUUGUGAGCAGCAGCAACUCCUUUUUCUUCAGACACUGAAUCAUGCUACAAGAACAUCGAGCAGCGCUGUAGCUGAUCUAUGCUGUGGAGAAAGUCAUUCCAAUUUCUGGGGCUCUAUGAAGGAAUGCGAAAUGACUGCAAAGAGCAAAAACAACAAGCCACAGCUCAAAAAUAUAACCACCUGAUUUUUCAAGGUUCAUCAUGCUAACCAACCAAUAUUUUCCAAAACUCUGCUAGUCAGGCUGAUGUUGAAAGCUUCCAUGGAUUCCAACAGCAACCAAAGAGACAUACAUCAGAAGGAAAGAAGACAUCAGUACUUACUAAACUCAAAU